GAUGAACGCUGGCGGCGUGCCUAACACAUGCAAGUCGAGCGAGAAGCUUAUGAAGGAUCCUUCGGGUGACUGAUUAAGUGGAAAGCGGCGGACGGGUGAGUAACGCGUGGGUAACCUGCCCCAUACAAAGGGAUAGCCACUGGAAACGGUGAUUAAUACCAUAUGAGAUCGUAGAGUCGCAUGACUUAGCGGUUAAAGAUUUAUCGGUAUGGGAUGGACCCGCGUCUGAUUAGCUAGUUGGUAAGGUAACGGCUUACCAAGGCGACGAUCAGUAGCCGACCUGAGAGGGUGAUCGGCCACACUGGAACUGAGACACGGUCCAGACUCCUACGGGAGGCAGCAGUGGGGAAUAUUGCACAAUGGGCGAAAGCCUGAUGCAGCGACGCCGCGUGAACGAUGAAGGCUUUCGAGUCGUAAAAGUUCUGUUCUUGGGGAAGAUAACGACGGUACCCAAGGAGAAAGCACCGGCUAAAUACGUG
This 479-nucleotide ribosomal RNA is filed under the name uncultured bacterium. RNAcentral describes it as "bacterial SSU rRNA". It matches the Rfam family "Bacterial small subunit ribosomal RNA", at positions 28 to 507 of the family's 1533-position model. The record is from RNAcentral.